CCUACGGGAGGCAGCAGUGGGGAAUAUUGGACAAUGGGCGAAAGCCUGAUCCAGCAAUGCCGCGUGAGUGAUGAAGGCCUUAGGGUUGUAAAGCUCUUUUACCAGGGAUGAUAAUGACAGUACCUGGAGAAUAAGCUCCGGCUAACUCCGUGCCAGCAGCCGCGGUAAUACGGAGGGAGCUAGCGUUGUUCGGAAUUACUGGGCGUAAAGCGUACGUAGGCGGUUAUUCAAGUCAGAGGUGAAAGCCUGGAGCUCAACUCCAGAACUGCCUUUGAAACUAGAUAGCUAGAAUCUUGGAGAGGUGAGUGGAAUUCCGAGUGUAGAGGUGAAAUUCGUAGAUAUUCGGAAGAACACCAGUGGCGAAGGCGACUCACUGGACAAGUAUUGACGCUGAGGUACGAAAGCGUGGGGAGCAAACAGGAUUAGAUACCCUGGUAGUCCACGCCGUAAACGAUGAUAACUAGCUGUUCGGGCUCUACGAGCUUGAGUGGCGCAGCUAACGCAUUAAGUAUCCGCCUGGGGAUACGGUGCAAGNUUAAAACUCAAAGGAAUUGACGGNNGAGAGNGCGAGACGACGACGAGGAGAG
RNAcentral lists this ribosomal RNA (587 nucleotides) under uncultured bacterium. Its description in RNAcentral is "bacterial SSU rRNA". It matches the Rfam family "Bacterial small subunit ribosomal RNA", at positions 338 to 945 of the family's 1533-position model. The record is from RNAcentral.